AAGACUAUAGACCUGCGGAGUACCUGCGGAGGGAUCAUUACCGAGUUUACAACUCCCAAACCCAAUGUGAACGUUACCAAACUGUUGCCUCGGCGGGAUCUCUGCCCCGGGUGCGUCGCAGCCCCGGACCAAGGCGCCCGCCGGAGGACCAACCAAAACUCUUUUGUAUACCCCCUCGCGGGUUUUUUAUAUCUGAGCCAUCUCGGCGCCUCUUGUAGGCGUUUCGAAAAUGAAUCAAAA
This 240-nucleotide unclassified non-coding RNA is filed under the name soil metagenome. RNAcentral describes it as "partial contains 5.8S ribosomal RNA, internal transcribed spacer 2, and large subunit ribosomal RNA". The record is from RNAcentral.